AUGUGUUGUAAUGGGGUCCCGUUGCAGGCUCUGUGCAGUUCCGUGUGUGGGGUCGUUGCCACUCGCGCCGUGUUUGAGGCCGUCGGGGUCGGGGACGGAGCAGCCACAUGCCACCGGAGCCACCUUCACAUGGUUACUUGCGAGGUCACAGCCCCAAAUCCUUCUUUUUCACCCCAAAAUGACCCAAAAUGGCCCUUUUUCACCCCAAAAAUGCCAUUUUUAACACCAAAAUGCCCUAAAAUGGCCCUUUUUCACCCCAAAAUCCCCCUUUUUCACCCCAAAAUGCCCCAAAAUGGCCCUUUUUCACCCCAAAAUGCCCCAAAAUGGCCCUUUUCACCCCAAAAUGGCCCUUUUUCACCCCCAAAAUGCCAUUUUUAACACCAAAUUGCCCUAAAAUUGCCCUUUUUCACCCCAAAAUGCCCCAAAAUGGCCCUUUUUCACCCCAAAAUGGCCCUUUUUCACCCCAAAAUGACCCAAAAUGGCCCUUUUUCACCCCAAAAUCCCCCUUUUUCACCCCAAAAUCCCCCUUUUUCACCCCAAAAUGGCCCUUUUUCACCCCAAAAAUGCCAUUUUUAACACCAAAAUGCCCUAAAAUGGCCCUUUUUCACCCCAAAAUCCCCCUUUUUC
This 627-nucleotide long non-coding RNA is filed under the name Coturnix japonica (Japanese quail). RNAcentral's name for it is "lncRNA (ENSCJPG00005002068.1)". Lineage: Eukaryota; Metazoa; Chordata; Aves; Galliformes; Phasianidae. The record is from RNAcentral.